Long non-coding RNA from Ctenopharyngodon idella (grass carp), 1919 nucleotides. RefSeq lists it as uncharacterized. NCBI's taxonomy places the organism in Eukaryota, Metazoa, Chordata, Actinopteri, Cypriniformes, Xenocyprididae. The record is from RefSeq and is a predicted model, not a curated record. The transcript has 2 exons.
CAUGGGGUAAUUUUUAUUUUUGGGUGAACUAACCCUUUAAGGCUAUGAAAAUAAGUUAUUGAUCAUUUUAUAAAGAUUAACUUAAAGUGACAACCAUCAGUUAAUAUUUAAAGUCUGUUUAUGAAGUAUUUACAUGGACGUUCAAUGUGGAUGAGCUUAAAGGGAGCACACUGAGCUUAAUUGGAGCAGCAACAAUUUUAAUUAAUAAAUAUUACAUGAAAUUUAAAGGACAAGAUUUUGCAAAAUAAAUAAUCCAGAUCAUGUAUUAACUUUAUACAUAAUUUAAUAUGAACAAAUAUUAUGGACGAUAUCUAUGAAAUUAUACUGUUUCUUAGUGACGUCUCACUGAAGCUGUGUGAUUUUCAUAGUAGUGCACCCUUUAAGUUCAGCUUACAAUAAUAUUAUUUCUUUAAAAAUUGCAGCAGUGUAAAACCACAGACCAUCAAUAAACUGUAAAUUUAUAAUAUUAUGGAUUUAACAGUACAAGCCAGUAAUGUCUGUAUAGUAAUAUAUUAGUGUAGCAAACAAUCUUAUACAGCUAGUAAGCUAACAAUGAUCUGUAGUAUCUGCGCUAUGUUGCUAAAACUAUCUUUUGGAUCUAACUGUAAUUAUUUCCCAUAUCCAGGUUCCAGGUUAUAAUAUGCAAAAGUCUAAACAUUAAUCUCUUAAUUUUGCAGCAAGUAGUUAUACUUACCCAAAAUAAAGGCUUAACCACCUUAAAAAUGCACAUUUAAGGGGCUACUUUUCUGGUGAAAGUUUUCAGACAGCUUUCAAAAUGGCCGCCAGACAGUGUGAACACAUGGAUACCCAUAUCUCAGUGUGCAAUGGUCUGAUUUUCUUGAAAUUACAGGAGGUAUGUAGUAACAAACACAUCAAUUGGUUAUGACAUCAAGUUGGAUAAUACACUAUUUUUUCUUUUUAUAAUCUGAGCUCAAAUAUGGUAGUGUGCCUAAUGGGUACUUAAGCUUAAUAGGUAUGUUUACCAACGUCACACGUUUGAUAUGUUAUAGGAAACAUGCUGAAAGUCUCUGCAGAAACAAGGUUGUGUUUCAAAGUGCCGGACAAGCAGAAAAUGUAUACCUACCAACAGAACGUCAUUGCCAUAGAAAUCAAUGCAGAUAUUCCGGAAAACGAAAGAGCGCGACGAGACACACAAAUCGGAUCUGAACAGUUGCGAUACACAAUGUGGACAGUCAAUAAUUUUAGAUCAGAUGCCAAGUGGAUACACAAAUAAUCGGAUUUGGACUGACAGUGUGAACGUAGCCUAAAGGAUUUGGUCUCUCUAAACCCCUCCUUUUCGAGAGCCUACUCUGCUCUGAUUGGUCAGAUGGCCCAGUCUGUUGUGUUUGGUCAACCGCUUACAGCGCGUGUCGGAAACAAAACGUCCAUUACCAUAUCUGAAUUUCAGCUCUGGAUCUUCCUCAGCGCUUGAUACACAGUGAUACAAACAGUAACGAUGGCGUCGGAUUUACCAUAUCAAUUCAAGCCAAAGUGAAAUUGCUCUUGCAGCACAGAAAACAGCGUCUUCUCGACAUGUCGACAACAUGAAACAAACUCUUCCAGGCCUCAGCUUCAACUACAGUGUUUGAGGUCUUAUCUCUCCACUCCACCCACACUGGAAUUCUUCUGACUAUCAACAUACUUCCUUGAAGUUAAAAUUUUACAGCUGUCCUCCAUUAACCCUCUGGAGUCUGAGGCUGAUUUCGGGGCCUGAAGUACUUUUGACAUGCCCUGACAUUUGUGCUUUUUCAGUUGUUUAUAAACAUAUUACAAAAGUCUCAUUACACUGUAUUCAGCACAAACUAGGCUACAAUAAUAUGUGAGCAACAAGUAUGUACAUGUUUGUAUUUUUGAGAGUAUUACGUAUAUGGUUACGUGGUUUUUGAAAAAAAAAAUAAAAAAAUCAGUAACUGAAAUAA